UGUCAUUUCUCAAUGUAAAAUCUUCAGUUUAGUUCCACUCACCUCUGCUCUUCUGGCAGAUACUGUACUGACUCUGAUAUCUCUAACUCUGAUGACCUCCUCGAACUCUCGGGUCCAAUCCUACACAAAUGGACUCGAAUGAGGUGUCACACAUACUUUGAAUAACUCUUAAACAAAUCCCCAUAAUCCCCUCUAAACCUCUG
Molecule: long non-coding RNA, 203 nt
Filed under: Manihot esculenta (cassava)
Lineage: Eukaryota; Viridiplantae; Streptophyta; Magnoliopsida; Malpighiales; Euphorbiaceae
Description: long non-coding RNA (MESC_LNC003988)
Source: RNAcentral